Molecule: ribosomal RNA, 479 nt
Filed under: uncultured bacterium
Lineage: Bacteria
Description: bacterial SSU rRNA
Rfam family: Bacterial small subunit ribosomal RNA
Source: RNAcentral
GAUGAACGCUGGCGGCGUGCCUAACACAUGCAAGUCGAGCGAUUUACUUCGGUAAAGAGCGGCGGACGGGUGAGUAACGCGUGGGUAACCUGCCCUGUACACACGGAUAACAUACCGAAAGGUAUGCUAAUACGAGAUAACAUGAGAAAGUCGCAUGGCUUUCUUAUCAAAGCUCUGGCGGUACAGGAUGGACCCGCGUCUGAUUAGCUAGUUGGUAAGGUAACGGCUUACCAAGGCGACGAUCAGUAGCCGACCUGAGAGGGUGAUCGGCCACAUUGGAACUGAGACACGGUCCAAACUCCUACGGGAGGCAGCAGUGGGGAAUAUUGCACAAUGGGCGAAAGCCUGAUGCAGCAACGCUGCGUGAGCGAUGAAGGCCUUGGUCGUAAAGCUCUGUCCUCAAGGAAGAUAAUGACGGUACUUGAGGAGGAAGCCCCGGCGUAACUACGUGCCAGCCAGCCGCGGUAAACUCGUCUCUA